AUUUCAUAACAUUUUGUUCUACAUAACAAUCUAUAGUAAUAUAAAUAAGUACCCAGUAACAACUUUAAGUGCAAACGUGCUUAAAAUCAUUUAAAUCUAGGCUGUGUAAGGCACUAAUCUAUUAACAAGGCCGAUUCAUCACCUAAACAAUUAUAGUCGAUCUCAUAUUUAAUUUGAUACCAAGUCUAGCUGCCUAAUUUAUUAAGUACUAAUGUAUUAUACUACAUGAUACUUUACUGUAUUCGUCUAACAUAUUAGCCUCACUAUUCAUUACUACAACGAAUAAAGUAUCGAUAGUAAGACUAAUGCUGCUUUCGUGAAUAACUUACGUUGAAUAAAAUUGGCAUACGCACAUGCGCCGUAGGAGUCUAAAUCACAGAUGUAUUAAGGCCAAAUUGAUAAUGAUAAAUCUAUGAUUGUAUAUUUGCACUGAAGAAAGACUUUGUGACUUUAUGACUGUAGAUAAAACUAAAAAACAUUGAUGAUAUAAACACAAAAUUAACUUACAAUGAAAAUAUAUGAGGAAUGUAGUGAUUAUAAGAAUAGCUGCACUGCAAAGAUUAAAAGAACACUAGCCUAACAAAUGAAAAGUGAUAUCCUACAUACUAAAUCCAUAUUAUGAACAAAUAAGUACAAAAAGUAAUUUUGCUAGGCAAUAAUACUGAUUUAGAAAUUUUUACUGCCAAUAUAAAGGCGCUAAUUCUGGCACGAGAGUAGAUAAAUAUCGUAAGGUCACUGGAUAUAUCUAUGUAUCUAGUAUAUAGAUAAUGGUUGAAGGCACUAAAGGUAACCAAUGAGAAGAAACAGUAAUUUAGUCUAAGUAAAUGUCUUAACAUAAAAUACAACCGCUAAACCAAAGUACUAAAUAAAGGUUAAAUAGAAAGUAGGAGGUACUUGCAAUCAUCUUAAUAUUUUAAGUAUCAUUGGGAUUAAAUUGUCAACAUCUUGCUAUGCCAGAAUUUCAAUUUCUAUUAUUUUUAUUUACUUUUUUGUAGUGAUCAGUACUAAACAUAAAAUAAUAAUAAUAUGCCAUAUUAAGUAGCCUUAAUCAUUAAUGCAUUACAACUCUUGUUAAAUAAUAUUAAUGAUAAUAAACGCAAUAAAAAUACUCUCAACAAUAAGUAAAAUGAUUCAAUAUGAAAAUAUGGCUAAAAUUUAUAAAUAGUUAAUUGGAAAAAAAGAAGGAAUGUUGUAUAAUACUAAUUAAUUACAUGCUUAAAUAUUUCUACACAUUCAUAUAUUAUUCAUUACCAUCUAAAUGAUUUUGUCAGAAAUAUAAAAAAAGAUUGCCAACAACAAAUUGGUUAUAAAUACAAAAAAAAAUGGAAUGACUUCACUGAAAAAUCAGAAGUGAUUACAAUAAUGACAACAAAUUACUAUCAUACAUAGUGUCCCACUCAUUGAGGAAGAUCAAAACGAAUUGUAUAACGAAGUAGGACAGAUAUAUUUUUAUUUAUACUUUCAAUAGACAUCCAUUCAUGUAAUAACUAUAAGCGCUUUAAUUCAGUCAAUUAAUUCUAAGAUAUAAUGAUUCAAAAUUUACACCAAGAUUAAACUUUUAAUAUCAACUAUAAAAUAUUAAUGUCACAAAAUUGUGAUCAAUCUUCUACAUAACAGAUCACAACCAAAUCACAUUGUUGCUUUUCCUCAAUGAGCAGGUAUUACAAGAGAAAGUUGUGAUACAAACAACUUUGGUAUGUCAUGCUACUCUGAUUUGUAACAAUAGUUCUGUUAUGCAUCUAAUUUGAUGCAAAAUAGCGACAGAAGGUAAGGUGGGGCAAUCAUCACUCAUCUAUGACUUGUCAAUUAGUUUUCUAAGCCAACGUGCUAGCUAACUUCUUAAUUUGUUAAAUAUAAUCUUAUCCAUAUAUCGUAUGGAAAGGUAAAGCUGAGGUCGAGUCAUUUCUAAAAAAUACCGCUUUGUAAACUUGUUACAAUAUCACUCGCUAACUAGACAUGGUGGCAACCACGUAGCAUAAUUCAUCGGUUAGCUAGUUAACUCUUUCACCUGAAAGAGCUGGCCAACUUUUACUAUUCGUCGUGUGUGUAAAAUAUAUUGGCAAUCACUGGCUUAGGUUCUCUGGAGCAUUUUUCCUUAUUUUAAGGCUGUGCUAUUAUAACAUCGGAUAUCCAACACGCCAUACGAAUCGUACAGGGGCUUUCAUGGUAAAUAAGGCUAUGAGGAAUAUCGAAAUAAUUAUGGUGAAGCGGUCAGGCAGAAUAAUAGGUAAGCAACAUUUAGGAAAUGACAGCAUCAGAAAAGAUGCAUGGAUAAAUUCGCAUCAUUGAAUUUUAGUUACUUCUGCACAUUCGGUAAAAUGUUCUGGAGCUGGGUCAUAAUCUCACUGGGGCAAUUCAUUUUACUCCAGACCGCCGGCUUUGCUCGACGAACGGUACGAGAUCCGGCGGGCCACGGCCUGGGCGGAAGAAAGUACGGAGUUUGUCCAAUACUUUUGGUCAUUAUGGGUCGCUGCGGAUAUGAAAGAAAGUACUGACAUUUCACUGGGGGCAAUUUGUUCUACAGCAGACCGCCGGCUUCGCUCGAUGAACGACAUGAGAUUCGGCGGGUCACGGCCUAGACCAGGGGUUCCCUAAGCGGGGGGCGCACCCCCCACGUGAGGCGCAAAGACCUUCAAAGGGGGGCGCAGGCCAUCUGUGUAGUUAAGUAUUAUAAAACCUGCGACCGCGGAGAGAAUACAUUCUAAACUGCUCGAUACGACCAAUAAAUAAUCUGGACUGGAGGAUGGGGGCGCGGAUUUUUUUGUAUGUUCGAAAGGGGGCGCGUAUCAAAUAGGUUUGGGGACCCCUGGCCUAGACGGAAGAAAGUACGGAGCUUGGUCAUUAUGGGUCGCUGCGGAUAUGGAAGAAAGUACUGACAUUUGUUUACUGCUGCACGUGUGGAUGGUGUUGCAUCAGCGGCACAAGUAAAGCCGGCGG
Long non-coding RNA from Ostrinia nubilalis (European corn borer), 2937 nucleotides. RefSeq lists it as uncharacterized. The record is from RefSeq and is a predicted model, not a curated record. NCBI's taxonomy places the organism in Eukaryota, Metazoa, Arthropoda, Insecta, Lepidoptera, Crambidae. The transcript has 2 exons.